RNAcentral lists this ribosomal RNA (497 nucleotides) under uncultured bacterium. RNAcentral describes it as "partial 16S ribosomal RNA". It matches the Rfam family "Bacterial small subunit ribosomal RNA", at positions 28 to 507 of the family's 1533-position model. The record is from RNAcentral.
GAUGAACGCUGGCGGCGUGCCUAAUACAUGCAAGUCGAGCGAACAGACGAGGAGCUUGCUCCUCUGACGUUAGCGGCGGACGGGUGAGUAACACGUGGAUAACCUACCUUUAAGACUGGGAUAACUUCGGGAAACCGGAGCUAAUACCGGAUAAUAUAUUGAACCGCAUGGUUCAAUAGUGAAAGACGGUUUUGCUGUCACUUAUAGAUGGAUCCGCGCCGCAUUAGCUAGUUGGUAAGGUAACGGCUUACCAAGGCAACGAUGCGUAGCCGACCUGUGAGGGUGAUCGGCCACACUGGAACUGAGACACGGUCCAGACUCCUACGGGAGGCAGCAGUAGGGAAUCUUCCGCAAUGGGCGAAAGCUUGACGGAGCAACGCCGCGUGAGUGAUGAAGGUCUUCGGAUCGUAAAACUCUGUUAUUAGGGAAGAACAAAUGUGUAAGUAACUAUGCACGUCUUGACGGUACCUAAUCAGAAAGCCACGGCUAACUACGUG